GAAUCUUCCUGAUGUCGAGAUCCCUGAUACUCUACGCAUUAAGCAACCUCAGUGUCCACACCAACCGGACAAUGUGGCAUGUGGAUACUACUUAAUGAGGAUGUUGAAGGAUUUGAUUGAACAUGCGAGUCCUGGGCAUUACUUGAGAACGCUAACAAGCACAUCAUAUACAGAGGCACAAAUUGAUGAGUUGCGACAAGAAUGGGCGACAUAUAUGUUGCCGAUAAUCCAAAGUUACCGACCUCGUUGAUAGGUUUUUUUUUUAAUUUUUUAACUCUUUCUUUAUACACAAUGCAAUAUUUGUUCAUUUUGAAUAUUUCUAACAAAUAUUGUAUUUCUUGUAUAUAUCUAACAAAUAUAUUUUUUUUCUUUCAAUUUAAUUGAUUAUUAAAUUAAUUUAAAUUUAGAUUAAAAUAAUUUAAA
Molecule: long non-coding RNA, 423 nt
Organism: Humulus lupulus (European hop)
Lineage: Eukaryota; Viridiplantae; Streptophyta; Magnoliopsida; Rosales; Cannabaceae
Exons: 3
Source: RefSeq, a predicted model, not a curated record